This 71-nucleotide transfer RNA is filed under the name Marmota monax (woodchuck). RNAcentral describes it as "tRNA.Ala". The record is from RNAcentral. Lineage: Eukaryota; Metazoa; Chordata; Mammalia; Rodentia; Sciuridae.
GGGGUUGUGGCUCAGUGGUAGAGCGCUCACCUAGCAUAUGCGUGGUCCUGGGUUUGAUCCUCAGCACCACA